This 122-nucleotide ribosomal RNA is filed under the name Idiomarina zobellii. Its description in RNAcentral is "16S rRNA. Bacterial SSU". It matches the Rfam family "Bacterial small subunit ribosomal RNA", at positions 1 to 113 of the family's 1533-position model. Lineage: Bacteria; Pseudomonadati; Pseudomonadota; Gammaproteobacteria; Alteromonadales; Idiomarinaceae. The record is from RNAcentral.
UUUAAUUGAAGAGUUUGAUCAUGGCUCAGAUUGAACGCUGGCGGCAGGCCUAACACAUGCAAGUCGAGCGGUAACAGAGAGAAGCUUGCUUCUCUGCUGACGAGCGGCGGACGGGUGAGUAA